Molecule: unclassified non-coding RNA, 905 nt
Filed under: Hevea brasiliensis (rubber tree)
Lineage: Eukaryota; Viridiplantae; Streptophyta; Magnoliopsida; Malpighiales; Euphorbiaceae
Source: RNAcentral
AGAGCUCUUUCUUUUAACCUCCCCCUUCGCUAUCUUUCUGUUCUUCCAAAAUUUCGUCUCAACCUCAGCCUCUCGGAUCACACUGCAUGUCUUCCCCUGCGUCCUCUUCUUCCUCCCCUGUCUGAGAUUGGAUCUACUGAAUAGAAGACAACCAUGUCCGAAUCUCACUCUGCUACCUGCAUGUCUUCGGUCACCUCAACACACGCCCUUGCCUUCUCCCCUGGCUCAGACCAGUCAGUCAACGACUCCCACUUGUGCCGUUUCGAUUCUCUCCAUCUGGGCAACAAAUCCCAACUACCGGUAGCCUCCCUUGCCCCUGGAAUCAAGCGAAUGGACUUCGACGUGACAAUUUGUCAGAAUUGUGGUGAUAGAGGCUUCUCCAAGGCACUGAUUUUUUGUCAUGAAUGCCAGGCUUAUGCUGUGCAUUGCUAUUGCUUAGAUGCAUUGCCACAAACUUUUGAUGAGUCUUUGGUAUGGUUUUGUGAGGAUUGUGAUCCAAAGAUCACAAAAUCAUCCUGUCGGAGACACAGUUCAAGAUAAGGCAGCAAAACGGGCAAGAAGGAAUGCGCAGGGCUGGUUGGUUUAUCCUAGAAGGCCAAAGAAGGUUCCAAAAGGAGAGCAAAGUUUUCCCGCAAAGCAAGAUUUCAGUUGGCUGAAAUUCCUGGGGAGGAAGAGGCGCACGAGCCAGAAGGUGCAAUAAAUAACUAAUUAAAAAGCGAUCAGAAUGGGAGAGCUGGGGAAAUAGCAGGAUAGUCUCUGCUAUGAAUUUUGUUAUCUUUCUUCUUUUCUUAAUUGUUGAAUCAUUCCUUAGAGAACUCAUUGUAAUCCUUCUCCAGAUUUCUGGCUCAUUAAUUAAUCACCCUGAAUUGUUCUGCGUAAAAAAAAAAAAAAAAAGAAAAAAAAAA